Molecule: ribosomal RNA, 451 nt
Filed under: uncultured bacterium
Lineage: Bacteria
Description: partial 16S ribosomal RNA
Rfam family: Bacterial small subunit ribosomal RNA
Source: RNAcentral
GUGGGGAAUAUUGGACAAUGGGGGGAACCCUGAUCCAGCCAUGCCGCGUGUGUGAAGAAGGCCUUUUGGUUGUAAAGCACUUUAAGCGAGGAGGAGGCUACCGAGAUUAAUACUCUUGGAUAGUGGACGUUACUCGCAGAAUAAGCACCGGCUAACUCUGUGCCAGCAGCCGCGGUAAUACAGAGGGUGCACGCGUUAAUCGGAUUUACUGGGCGUAAAGCGCGCGUAGGUGGCCAAUUAAGUCAAAUGUGAAAUCCCCGAGCUUAACUUGGGAAUUGCAUUCGAUACUGGUUGGCUAGAGUAUGGGAGAGGAUGGUAGAAUUCCAGGUGUAGCGGUGAAAUGCGUAGAGAUCUGGAGGAAUACCGAUGGCGAAGGCAGCCAUCUGGCCUAAUACUGACACUGAGGUGCGAAAGCAUGGGGAGCAAACAGGAUUAGAAACCCCGGUAGUCC